GCGGGACUGCCCGGCACGAGCCGUAGAACAUCCCUGAGGCUAUAAGUUUAUCCUAGGGAGCUGUCCCUGUCCUGGUCCACCAGUUCGGCUGUGGGGCCGGGGUAUACGGCGCCCACCUGACCUUUUGCGUCAGAGGAUUUCCCAGGCACCGACCCAUGGUGGUUCCGCC
Citromicrobium sp. RCC1885 is the source of this 169-nucleotide non-coding RNA. NCBI's taxonomy places the organism in Bacteria, Pseudomonadati, Pseudomonadota, Alphaproteobacteria, Sphingomonadales, Sphingomonadaceae. The record is from Rfam.